This is a non-coding RNA of Oryctolagus cuniculus (rabbit), 82 nucleotides long. The record is from Rfam. NCBI's taxonomy places the organism in Eukaryota, Metazoa, Chordata, Mammalia, Lagomorpha, Leporidae.
GGUGCUGUGGCAUAGUGGGUAAAGCCAUGGCCUGCAGUGCCAGCAUCCCAUAUGGGCGCCGGUUCGAGUCCUGGCUGCUCCA